RNAcentral lists this ribosomal RNA (497 nucleotides) under uncultured bacterium. RNAcentral describes it as "partial 16S ribosomal RNA". It matches the Rfam family "Bacterial small subunit ribosomal RNA", at positions 28 to 507 of the family's 1533-position model. The record is from RNAcentral.
GAUGAACGCUGGCGGCGUGCCUAAUACAUGCAAGUCGAGCGAACGGACGAGAAGCUUGCUUCUCUGAUGUUAGCGGCGGACGGGUGAGUAACAAGUGGAUAACCUACCUAUAAGACUGGGAUAACUUCGGGAAACCGGCGCUAAUACCGGAUAAUAUUUUGAACCGCAUGGUUCAAAAGUGAAAGACGGUCUUGCUGUCACUUAUAGAUGGAUCCGCUCUGCAUUAGCUAGUUGGUAAGGUAACGGCUUACCAAGGCAACGAUGCAUAGCCGACCUGAGAGGGGGAUCGGCGACACUGGAACUGAGACACGGUCCAGACUACUACGGGAGGCAGCAGUAGGGAAUCUUACGCAAUGGGCGAAAGCCUGACGGGGCAACGCCGCGUGAGUGAUGAAGGUCUUCGGAUCGUAAAACUCUGUUAUUAGGGAAGAACAUAUGUGUAAGUAACUGUGCACAUCUUGACGGUACCUAAUCAGAAAGCCACGGCUAACUACGUG